CGAUUCGUUAGGGCUUGCCAC
RNAcentral lists this microRNA (21 nucleotides) under Magallana gigas (Pacific oyster). RNAcentral's name for it is "Mgi-Novel-2_3p* (star (passenger))". Lineage: Eukaryota; Metazoa; Mollusca; Bivalvia; Ostreida; Ostreidae. The record is from RNAcentral.